RNAcentral lists this transfer RNA (68 nucleotides) under Stenocladius sp. FM17. RNAcentral's name for it is "tRNA-Gln". Lineage: Eukaryota; Metazoa; Arthropoda; Insecta; Coleoptera; Lampyridae. The record is from RNAcentral.
UAUAUUUAAGUAUAAGAUGUACAGGAGUUUUUGAUUCUUCUAGAGUAGUUUAAUUCUAUAAAAUAUAA